GAUGAACGCUGGCGGCGUGCUUAACACAUGCAAGUCGAACGAAGCACUUUAUUUGUUUUUCUUCGGGUCUGAUUAUUUUGUGACUGAGUGACGGACGGGUGAGUAACGCGUGGGUAACCUGUCUUGUACGGGGGGAUUACAGAUGGCAACGGCUGCUUAUAAAGCAUAAGCGCACGGAAUCGAAUGCUGCAGUGUGAAAACCUCCGGUGGUAUAAGCUGGACAUGCGUUGGAUUGGCUAGUUGGUGCGGAAACGGCCCACCAAGGCGACGUUACAUAGCCGACAUGAGAGGGUGACCGGCCACAUUUGGGCGGAGACACAGCAGAAACUCCUACGCGAAGGAGCAGAGGGGAAUAUUGCACAAUGGGCGAAAGCAUGAUGCACCGACGCUGGUUGAGCGAAGUAGUAAUGCAGUAUGUAAAGUGCAAUCAGCAGUGAAGAUCAUGACGGUACCUGACCAGAAAGCACCGGCUAAAUACGUG
Molecule: ribosomal RNA, 481 nt
Filed under: uncultured bacterium
Lineage: Bacteria
Description: partial 16S ribosomal RNA
Rfam family: Bacterial small subunit ribosomal RNA
Source: RNAcentral